CCUAAGAAAAAAACUACUGCAGGGGCCGUGCUCCGGCUUCCCUCUUCCUCGCCGGCCGCCGACACAGGCAGACGAGAUGAGAGGCUACCCCCAGCGCCCCGCCACGGCGCCACCCUCCGUCUCCUUAGCCCGGCACCCUAGCUCUCUCUCCUUGGCCAGUGGUGCCUACCGGGGCAAGCACCAACGCGGCUGGCGACAUAGGUGGAGGACCUCAACGCCAUUCUCUCCUCCCGAGGCGGCUGGCGGGGCGGAGGAGGCCUAGGCUCCUCCUCCCUCUCUCAAGGUGACACGGUAAUGGGAGGAGCCGACCUAGCCAUCUACCCCUUGAUGCUCCACCUCUGGUGAGCUCUCUCUCUCUCUUUCUCUCUCUCUCUUGACGGGCGACGAACAGGUUGCGAGUUCGUUCGACCAGUGGAUGAGCUCCAUGAGAGGCACUCCGGCGGCCGCACGUCACCGCGCUAGAUUCCUCCCCAUUCCAAGGCCGGCGCUCUUCUCUCCGUGGCCGUCGUGUCGCUGCCCUGCUUGAGCUCUUCCCUCUUUGACCCCCUUUUCUCGGAGGGUGAUUGUCCACGGACAAAAAGCAGAAGGAGGGUGGUGGCGGUGCAAAUUCCAAUCAGUACGUAUGUGGUGUGAUCGUCCAUUGAGAACACGAGCUGAGAUGGUGUUCUCAAGGUUUGCAUGGGAACUGUUCAAUUUUUCCUGGACCCUUUCUCUUUAAUCGAUGGGCAGGGUUCAUCUGUUUGUUGGCCUUUUCUGGGUGAUAAUCCUCCACCGUAUCUGCAAAUUCAGAGCUCUUGGGUUCACUCUGAAAUUUGUACCGAUACUACUCCUGAUUUGUUUCUGAUUCUUUUCAUCUUUUGUAUUUCUUUCAGGUUUGCAUGGGAACUGUUCAAUUGUUCCUGGACCCUUUCUCUUUAAUCGAUGGGCAGGGUUCAUCUGUUUGUUGGCCUUUUCUGGGUGAUAAUCCUCCACCGUAUCUGCAAAUUCAGAGCUCUUGGGUUCGCUCUGAAAUUUGUACCGAUACAGAUGUAGACGAAUGCUAUUGUGGGGCAACCAUUAUCUCCAUACGGUGCACUUGAAUAUGUUGAUCAAGAAACAAGGGCAAUGGAGGAUCCAUCUGAUUUUACAUGCAUUGUGCGUUCCAAACAUUAUAGACUAUACUAAUAAUACCAAUCCCAGAGAAGAUGGUAUUAAAGUUCCUGACACUAGCUUAUCAGAAUGCUCAUCUGUACCACAUAUACAACUACUUCUUUGUUCCUCAAUAAGUAUACUAUUUUUUUUGGAUAAGGCUGAAUAAGCAUAUGUAUUCUCCAUCCUUUUUUGGAUAUGCUUUUCAGUUUGGAGUUGGUAACUAAGAAGUUCGCAGUUAAUUAAAUUAAUAACCAGGAAGUUGCCCUCUGCUUUUCAGAUAAAAUCACCAUUUAUAAUGGCGCAGAUCUACUUCAAAUGUACACUCUUCUGGAGCAAGAAAAGUGUGCUGGAUGGUUCACCUUUGUAUGGAUAGAGAUACAGAAAGAAGUUGUUUUAGAUAUGUUUAUGUGUUCUAAUACAGACAAUUUGUCUCUAAGCUUCCUUAGAGAAAGUUCUUUCUGAGUACGUUAAUCAGACAUUGUGCUUUCGGCAGGUAAUAGUUGCUGCUUGCCGUUGGCUCUGGUUUUGGUACCCCAUUGCGCUGGGAGCGACAUCUCUCGCUCCUACUGGGAGCAUUGCGCAAUCUACUGGUUUCUGGGCAUGGCAGAGUGACUACAUUUCUCCCAAUCAUGAUGCAGAUAGCGUAUCACCUGAAGCUCACUCAAGAAAGAGAUAAGAGAUGGCAAUAUGCAAGAUCUUGUGGGGAGUUUGACCACGAAGUUUCCGGCUGCUCUUUUGACUAUCUAGGCUAAAGAUGACGCAGCAAGUUUUCUUUUCCUGCAUGAAUUAUAAGUUAUUCCAUUUACAGCAGUUCAGAUUCUUUACAAAGAAUCAAUUUUGCAUGGGGAAAGAUGAUACCGUUGCUGCUACAUUUUUUUGCAUGCUCUUUUGGCAAACUUGCAAUGAUAUAAACAAGAAUGUUACUUAUUAUAUUGCGGUACUUAACUUGCAAAUAUUGUUUACCUUUUGCCUCAACGAGUGUGACCAGCACCACGUGGCGUACAAAAGAUGAAAAAGGCGAGGAAAUAUCUGAAACUAGAAACAUAGUAUAUCAAGAGAUAGGUUUCUGUUUGUGACAACAUGAAAAUCCUGUUUUUCUACUUCAGGUAAAUAUACAUUCUAUGACCUCAAGUGUAAGAUACACAUAUGUUACUUUUAACUAGUUGUCUUCUCUCUGUUCUAAUAAAUUGUUUUUUCUCUAAAUCACUUGCACUUCGACCAGCUGAGGUGAUUACCAUUAGUGUACUUUUUGUUCCAAUAAGAAUAUCUUUUAUUGGCACUGCAAGUAUGCAUGUUCUGAUUAUGUGUGGAAUCUAUGGCUUUCUUAAUUAAUCAUCUUCUCUGUAUAUUGAUGCUCUGUCUAUUUUUUACAACACUUGCGAUUUAAUCAGUCGAAGGGCUACUGUUAGUGCUUCACUUAAAUAAUAUGUACCACUUUUGUGUAUGGAAACAAGUCAGGUACUUGCGGAUAAUGGAGGAAACUAGGGAAGCUAUGGGCAGGGAGUAAGGUAGAGUGCAAGGAUGCGUCUUCUGAAUCCACUAAGAUUUGUUAAUUGCAUAGGACAUAUCUUCAGAAAAUAUGAAUUCUUCAUACCAUGUUAACAAGUAUCGAAAUUCUAAAUUUUCCAUAUACUGACGAAGCUUAUGCAUGAGUGGGAGCUACCAACAAAGCAUGCCCUACGUUUUGGGCAUUCAAUCUGGAAGGAGCACUAAAAAAAGACUAAUGAAGUUGAUAAACCCUGGUGCUUGGGAAAUGGCGUUUCUUUGUUGUCCACUCUCUGUUGAAAAAAUGAAGUUUGUUGGUCCUUUUUAUGCUCAAGUUUUUCAUGCCCAGAAAGUUUAGGUUGGUUGCUCUGAAGUAUUGCACUGUUCUAUCUGUGCUUUCUUAUCUAAUUGCCGUUGCACACUGCUCUAUUUUAUGUACUCAAUUUAGAUGGAAAAGCCAUAUAGUCGGCAGCAGUCAAUAAAUAAAAUAGGAGUAUAUCAAAAUCUGCUCUUCCUAUUUUC
Lolium perenne is the source of this 3138-nucleotide long non-coding RNA. RefSeq lists it as uncharacterized. Lineage: Eukaryota; Viridiplantae; Streptophyta; Magnoliopsida; Poales; Poaceae. The record is from RefSeq and is a predicted model, not a curated record.